RNA transcript from Columba livia (rock pigeon), 8327 nucleotides. RefSeq lists it as uncharacterized. The transcript is spliced from 2 exons. Lineage: Eukaryota; Metazoa; Chordata; Aves; Columbiformes; Columbidae. The record is from RefSeq and is a predicted model, not a curated record.
CAAAGGCAUCUCAUGACUCCUUAUGGCAGUUCUUUCUCUACGGGAUUAAUUGAGUUUCACACAACCCACAGGAUAACAGCAUUUGCUAAAAGUAAAUUUAUAGAUAGCAUGAUUAUUAUAUUUCUGUAUUUGUAAAAAGCAGGGACAGACUCUCAUUUUGGUCAAGCCCAUUUAAAAUCAUAAAAAUUCUUCUGACAUCAAAGGAACCACCUUCAUGUCAAACUGCUGGAAGCUAAUAAAGAAUUUGGCCAGGCUAUUUCCUAUUGUAUGAGAAACAUGCUAUUUGUGAUUAAGCUUGUAAAAAAGAAGCAGUCACAACCCCUUUUCUACUGCGCAUUGAGUAAUCAGACUCACCCUUGCCACAUCUAAGCCCCCGCUAGGGCACACUAGGACAUGACUAACAUCUAUUAUAUUUUUGUUUAUUCCUCUCCUUCCCAGUCAAUAAUGACAUGCAGUGACCGAUGGUGUAUUUAGAAUACACCUUAUAUACUUACACUACUAGUCAAGGUAAGGUCAAAGAUGUGCAGACAGAGGUGGUGAGGUUUGUUGUAACUAUUCAUUCCCGUGGGAAUUUAUUUCCCACUUUGGGUCAACUGAGGGAACUCUGUCUCUUGCACUGACACACUUACAAGUCUUUUACCGAAGCAGCUGCUCUGGCUGGGAAAAAUUUAAUGUGGCAGUUUUAUGUGUGCUUUCCUCUCAGGAUGCUACCAGUGGGCUCACUUUGCCCCCUCAACACAAAAUGAGGUCUUGCGUAAUUUUGCACUUCCCACUAUUAAAGUAAACUUAAACCUUUAAAGUUAUAUCAAGGGAAUGUCUUUAAUACUGCACCAUACUGAAAGCAGCCCCUCUGAAGCACUGUGGUUUUUUACCUCAUUAAGAGAGAUUAUAUUCUCAGAAAGCACCACUUGGAUUUACAAUUACAAUUACAAUUUACAACAAUUAUAAUUGUUGUAAAAUAACCAUCCAAAGGCAUUAAAUGCAGAUGAACUUAAGAAUAUUUUGUGUUGGGAAAGCAGGGGGAAAGAAAGCAAACAAUGCAGAAAAACUAAAUAUGUAGGGCAAACUCAUUGCAAUGGAAGAAACACAUUGAAAAAUAAAGUACAUAAAAAUAGAAGAACAUUCUACAUUUGAAAAGCACAUCAAUUGUAAUAAAAGCUCAUAAAAGGUAGAAUAUAAUUACAAGGUACAGAAUUUGAACACAAGAGGUGCUUGGAUGGUUAAUGUGCUGGCUUUGCUCACUGCUAGUGUUAUUUCAAAGUGGUGUUGAACAGGGCUACAGUCAAGCCUAGGAGGAACAUUACAAACUCUUAGAGUACUAUUGGUGACGCAGAACAUUAUUUGCCAGAAGUCUGGUCCCAGGGUCUGAUUUUAAAAAGAGCAUUUGCAUAUCUGUGAGCAUGCUUAAUUUUUUUAGCAACACAUUGCCUUUAAACUGGAUUAAUUAUUGCAGUGUUUUACAUUAAAAACUUGUGAUCUGAUUCUGCAAUUAAAAAAAUGGUAUGUUGUUGCUUUAGGUACAGCAGAUUCCUUUCAUUUUCUUCUACAAUGAAACAUUUCAGUACAAUGGGUUCUGAAAACAAUUUUUAAUGCUGACCCCUCUGCAUUCUAGUUUCAUUUGUGGAGGUACACAAGCAGCCAUAGUAACAGCCUCAAACAUAACUUUCAAAACACACUGCCUUUGUACUUCAAAAGAGAUACAUCCCCAUUUCUUUCUUAUAUGUCUUUUUUCAAGCCUUUUAUUCUUCACAAAGAAAUACAGAUCUGACCUGACAAAACCACUUUUCAUGACAGAGUAAUCAAAAUUAUCCUGCCUGAGUAAAUCUGAGAGCUCUUUUCCUGGUAGUGCUACCUGGGAGCAGAAAGGCAUAGAUUUUGUUUGUGUCUCUUGGAAAAAUGUGGACUAGUUUGUGAAAGAGGAUAAUUAUAUUUAGACGUAGAGUCUUUAUCAGUCCUCUGACCUUAAAGAGACAGAUAGCUCUUAUCUGAGAUGGAAACCCAUUGAAUUAAUUGAAUGUACAUAAGGGCUUUGAGGACCAUAAUUGUAAUGGGGACCUAGAUGCUCUCCUGCUUCACUCAAAACAUCCCCACACUUGCUACCCCAGAAGACAACAUACUCCCUGGGUUUUGACACCCUUCAGGUGUCCAUACUGCUUGAAGGGUCAGUGCUGGUAAGUAUGCUGUGAACUUAUUUCCCAGAGUACUUCCAGAAAGAAAGAAAAGCUGGCAUAGCUUCCUCUUUUUUACUUAUUCCUCUAGGAUGAAAAACAUGCUCUGUGAUGCAGAGGGUUCACUCUCACCUACAGUAUUGCAUUCCUGUUACUAGAAAAGGCUAUAAAAAACAGUUCUUUAAAACUGCCUCUUUCCAUCAGGCCACAGCUAAAGAAAGUGGAAUUCAGCACAAGAGGGGCAGACAGGUAUUUCUGGUGGAAUGUAAGUCCUAUAGGUCUUUAUACUAAAAGAAACAAACUCAAACCAACCAGGUAAAAUGCCCCUUACCCAGGAAAGCAAAUCACAUUUCUUUGCAGUACCUAGUCAGAAUUUGUGUUGUGCCCUUAUCCUCUCAUCCUGGUCUUCUGUUUGUCCAGAUGAUGCUCAGGUCACCCAAACCUGUCUGGAGUGAAAUACCUGUGUUUUCUUUGUGUCGAAAUGAAGGAUGGGAAGAAAAAGCAAUCAAGUUUCAGCAAGGCAGAGGCACACACUUGAGAGGGAAGAGAAGUUCCCGGAGCUGGACUCACGCAGUCUGAUGAGAGUCUCUGUGCCACACAAAACGCUGCUGGAACCUUCUCUGCACAAACCAGACGACAACUCCAUGGUAAUGGGGAAAGCAGUCAAGCUGAUCAGUAGAACUCAGGUCAACUCAUUUAACAAUGUUGGCUUUAAAUCCUGUAUUUUUAAACCUGUUAUGUAUUUAAAAAGGCUCUAUGAAGACAAGUCUGAAAGAUAAUGCCUUGGAAAAGGGGGCAAUAGUUCCAGAGAUUUUGAGAGACAUGAGUUUAAGUCUGGAAUUUAUACACAUCCCUGGUAUUUUCCCAUCUCAAUGGCACAGUAAAACUGCUUAAAUAAAACAGAGUGGGGGAAAUCAGUCACACCAGAUGAUUCAUGUACGCUUCUCCCUCCACUCAAGUCAUAUUUUAAACAACAUCUCAUUGAAGUUUAUAAUAAAAUGCUUAUAUAUUUUUCUUUAUGGUAUUGGUAAGCAAUGGUCCCUUUGUCUACAGUCUGUCUCAUAAAUAUAAAGUUAACUGUUAUUUCAAGUUCUAUUAGAUCUAGGUAUAGGAGACCUUUGUUAACCUAAGUAGUUUAAAAUUCUCGUAGUUACAGCUAAUUUUCUUAGAACUCUGCAGUUAAAUUUACCUUGGCAAGUUCAUAGAUUGCUCUUUGCUAGGAGAAAACUUGUAUGGAAAAAGACGUUUCAUAUCCACAUAGCUGAUGAAUAUAUCUGAUAAAGCAAUUUAAUAAUAUGUUAUAUUUAAAAUAUGUAUAUUUUUACUCUGUGAGUGACAGUAAAGUUUAGGUAGUUUUCACAACAAGUCUCCUUAGGAAACUGGAACUGCAGAAUCAAAAUGUUUUUGCUGUCAUUUGUUCUGUAUUAUUUUCUUCUCUGAAAAUAACCUGGAUACCAAAAUGUAACUGCCUUGGUCUUUGUUCUGUUUUGAAUGUUCCAGUUUAAAAUCUAUCACACCACAAUCUCUGUGCUUUUUAUUUGGGAAGACUGAUUUUCUCAACCGUUUUUAUAUUUUGUUAGAAUCAUGUAGAACUCCAUGACUGCGGAAAUUGCGUUAUUGUAGAAAUUCAAAGGAUACAUAUGAGAUACUUCAACUAACACUCCACAUACACAUACAGAAAACAGAAAAAAUAAAGGAGUAUCAAUUAAAUCUGUGCCAGGCCCCAGGUGAGAGCUAGGAGCAAUCAUACCAUAAUUUUCUAUAUGUAGAUUUUAUUUUUAUUCUGGUCUUACAAUAAAAUGGAAGGAUCAAUAGAAGAAUUUCCCAGAGGACUUUACACUGUAAAAGACAGUUAGAAACAUGUGGACCUAGUAGACCUUCUGAAUCUCUAGUGUUUAAAUGGUUUAUUUACAGCUGAAGCGCACAUUGGAAGCAGACCUGAUUAAAAAAUGGGAUCUGAAAACAGUUGUAAACUUGUAACAUGAUGAGAAACCUCAUUUGGAGACAGCCUUAACCAGAUAGUACACAGGACAUAGGGCACAGAUGUGAUGAGCCCACCUCGUUGGGUACUUGGAACGUCUGUUGUACAUUUGAGCCCGGCAAGCUCAACUUACUAAGACACAGCACACCAACCAGUGAUCCACAGGGUGGUUGCAUUUUGUGCUUUCCAUAGCCCUGGCAGCCACCACCAAGACUUGUGUGAUGACCACCUCUGUGAUUUCUGAGUGUCAACCAUUAUUUUGAGUGGUGCAUCAAGUACUCAUCUUGAACAAAUGUAUUUCAUCUAGCAGGAGUGGUAAGAGUUUAAUGUACCAAUAGUUCCAGUAAAUCAUUCUGUGGACUGUGUCCCAGUCUUGAGGUGGAGAUGGCCCUGACUAUCAAGUGCUUUAACUUUCCUUCCUAGAUUUCUUAUAUGUAUCAUUCCACAAAGAUUUACUAUAUAUCUCAUUCUCAAGGAGUUUUUAUUGAUAUCACCCUCUUGUAGUGCUUCAGUUUUAUUUCCAUCUAGAUACAGAAAUUGCUCCACACUUCUUUAAUAGUUACAUUAUCUGGUUAUUUGUGAACUAUAGGACUGUCUACCACUAUCCAAAUAUAUAUAAUUGAAUUAGCUUUUUGAGAAAUUGGCUAAUUGUUUCCAUAGAACAAGCAUUACUUUUUACAGUCAAAUAUAGUAUGAAUAUAAAUUGUUCAAAUAUCAGUGACUAACUCAAUCACCAGUUCACAUUCUGGAAAAAAUAUUAUAAAGUUUAUAUAUAUACUUAUUUUUUAGCCAGUUCUUGUAGACCAGAUAUCACAUUACUUUGUUAGUCACUACCUGGCCAGAGUAUAAUUUUUUUGAUUUUUUAUCACUUUGCAUGAACAGAUUCCUUUGGUCCCUUUGAGAUAUAUUAGAGGAGAUUAGAACUGUGCGUGAUAGUUAUACAUACUAUUAGGCGUGAAUCACUGAAGGGUACUGUUAGUUCUUCUGUUAAAAUAUUCACAGCUUGAAUGGAAAUACAGUUUGCAUGAAGACGCAGCUCACCCACCUCAGUCCACUCUUUGCUGUAUACUUUUGUGAUUUCUCAUUAGCUGACGUCUGCCUUCUGCCACAAACGGACUUACAUUCCUCCCAUCUGUUGUGAACCUAAUUUAAUCAUUAGUCACUAAUAUGAACGCAACAACAAAUACUUUCAUGCAUGAAGGGUCUGCCCUUUCCCCCAUUGUCAGAAUUUUUGUGAGGUAAUGUUUUCCAGUAAAAUUUUCAUAACAGAUUAGUUCAAAAGAUCUAUUUCUGUCUACAUCAGGUUUUUAUUAAUGUUAAGUUCUAGAUCCAGUAAGAUCAAUCAGUAAUUCAAAUGAAACUGUGUUUUUGUACAGAUUUAUCUGAUUUUUUAAAUCUGAAUGUUUUCAGAAUAGAACAUUUCUUCAGAGUAUUUCUACAGCUGUAAUUAAGUUAGAGAUUUUACAGUUACUCAGUAUAGAUAUAUUGCAUGCACCAUAGCUCAUCAGUUAUUAGAUGUAUCUGAACUAGAAAAGCAAAUAGAAAUGAGACAUCAUUUAAAAUAAUUAUUAUUACUAAACUAAAAGGAAAUUAAUUAAAAACCAACAAUGAAGACAUAAUGGAAAAACAAAACAGAACAUUUAAACAAGAUUUAAAAGUAUAUGAAGAACUCAAGAAUCAAUAUAUUUAGUGAAAAAAGAAGUAAUCUCAUUUAAUUCUAAUCUCUGUUAAGGGAUUACAACUCCUAAGAAUCAAGGAGAAGAAUUUGAGCUGUGCAGAAAGAAUCCUUACAGUUCAUUUGUAGUCUAGAAAAUUUACAUGAUAAUGGUAUUAAAAAAUCUUUUUUCUGUGUAAUACCAGAAAUUUUGAAAUUAUCCAUGAAAAUAUUAAAAACAUUUUUAAAUUGUCCUUUUUUUUUUUUUUUUUGUGAACACCUCAUGCUGGUUGCCUGGCUGAGGUUUUGUUAGUGGAAUGGUGGCUGUGGUGGUGUCAUCUCACAGAAGAUGCCAGGAGCUGUCCCUGUGUCACACACAGCCAGUGUCAGCUGGCUCCAAGAUGGACCCACUGCUGUUCAAAGCUGAGCCCAUCAGUGAUGUUGGUGGCACCUCUAUGCUAACAUAUUCAAGAAAAGGUAAGAAAGAAAGAUUAACAAAGAGUGAAAAAAGCUUCACAGCAGCUGUGGUAGGAGUGAGAAUGUAUGAGAGAAACAAUUCUGCAGACACCAAGGUCAGUGAAGAAGGAGAGGGAGGAGGUGCCUCGGGUGCUGGGGAAGAGAUUCCCCUGCAGCCCUCAGAGAAGACCAUGGUGAAGCAGCUUUGUCCCCUGCAGCCCAGGGAGGACCAUGUCAGAGCAGAUAUCCACACUGCAUCCCAUGGAGGACCCUAUGUUGGAGCAAGUGAAUGUGCUCAGAGGGAAGCUGAGCCCAUGAAGAGCCUGCACUAGAUCAAGCUCCUGGAAGAAACUUCAGUCCCUGGAGAGGAGCUGGUGUCACAGCAGGUUUUCUGGCAGGACCUGUGGCCCAUGGAGGACCCAUGCUGGAACAGUCUGUUCCUGAAGGACUGUAUCCCAUGGAAAGGACCCACGCUGGAGAAGUUCAUAAAGAACUGUAGCCCAUGAGAAGGACCCAUGUUGGAGUAGGCAAAAGAGCAUGAGGAGGAAAGAGUGUCAGGGAUGAAACACUAUUGACUGAUCGCAAACCCCACUCCCCAUCCCCCUGCGCUGCUUGGAGUGGGAAGGUUAGAAAGAUAGGAGGGAAGUUGAGCCUGGGAAGAAGGGAGGGGUGGGGAAAAGGUGCUUUUAAUUUUGUUCUUAUUUAUUCACUACCCAGAUCUUUUUUCAAUAGGCAAUAAAUUAUAUUAAUUUCCUUAAGUCUGUUUUGCCAGUGAUAGUAAUUGCUAAAUGAUUUACCUGUCCUUAUGCCGACCCAUGAGCUUUUCCAUCAUAUUUUUAUCUCCUGUCCUGUUGAGGAGAGGGACUGAUAGAGCUUCUUGGUGGGCAUCUGGUAGCACCAAGGUGAACCUAACACAUGAUGUACAAACAGUAUUUUCUGAAAAUAAGUUGCAUAGUUGAUUGGAGUGUUGUGCUUAAUUUCACAGAAUACAUCCUUGUUUCUCUUUGCUAUGUCCUUCAAUCUUAUUUCCUCAAACCAUUCUUAAUAUACAGCAGGUCUACUGUGACACCCGUUGUUGAUGAGACUGUCUGACAUUGUCUUUUAGACCCUGCACUUGACCAAACUUCAUUCAGUGUGGGAUGUCCUGUGUUAGCUCUCUUUACAGAAGCACUCUUUGCUUUAUGGAAAAUUUCACCUAACAUGGUCCAAACUUUUUCCAGGCAAAAGUAUUGUCUUGGCCUCAUUCAACAUUCUGGCAGCCUUUCCUCUGCAAUGCCCAUAAUCCUGUGCUUUGCGGUCCCUGAGCUGCGUCAGAUGUCAGCACUAGCAAUGGUGACAUGUUGGAAAUAAACUGAAAGAAGGAGGUAGGAGAACUCAGUAUAAAUAUUAAAAAUGGAGAUUGGAGAAUAUGACUGGAUAUCAGUGGUUGAGGGAAAAGAGAAGCAGAUCAGAUGGAGAGACAGGACUAGUGCAAGGAUAACGAUAGGAAGUAGCAAGACAGGACUAGGAAUGAAGCCUGUUUCGGAGGAGUCUUCUAAAGGCUAAGCAAGAUGCCUGUGGCUGAAGGUUGUUAUGGGAGGAAAACAAUGCAUCUCAUUAUUUUAGUUUGGAUGUUUGCACUGGCAACCAAUUUAGCACUGGAUCAAGAGUGUGCUUGGGAAAGAAAUUUCCUGGUGGGCCCUGCUACUGUGUUCUGGUUGCCAUGUUACCACAUACAUCAUAGAUUCCUUUCAGAUUAAUCUGGAAAAUGAAUUACAGAUCUUCAGUAACUGUACUUCUGCCUAUGCACUGCUAAGACUUUUGACCCAGUAGGUUAUAUGUGGCCUUCAAGCCUGAGGAGCAAGGUGGUUUGCAUUCACGUUCUUAGAUUUGGCCUCUAGACUGUGUGCUUGCCGUACAUAACACUUGGCCUGGAUCUUCUCUGGAUUCUAGGUGACUUUAAGUCCUAGUAAUUACUUUUGUGUGAGAGCAUAAUAUAAUGUGAGGGUUUGCCAGAAUGAUUAAUUUGUAUCAUCCCUGUGAGAAUGUGGGAUGCAUACUCUAAGACAUGGCACUGAGAGGCAUUUGA